This 497-nucleotide ribosomal RNA is filed under the name uncultured bacterium. RNAcentral describes it as "partial 16S ribosomal RNA". It matches the Rfam family "Bacterial small subunit ribosomal RNA", at positions 28 to 507 of the family's 1533-position model. The record is from RNAcentral.
GAUGAACGCUGGCGGCGUGCCUAAUACAUGCAAGUCGAGCGAACAGACGAGGAGCUUGCUCCUCUGACGUUAGCGGCGGACGGGUGAGUAACACGUGGAUAACCUACCUAUAAGACUGGGAUAACUUCGGGAAACCGGAGCUAAUACCGGAUAACAUGUUGAACCGCAUGGUUCAACAGUGAAAGACGGUCUUGCUGUCACUUAUAGAUGGAUCCGCGCCGCAUUAGCUAGUUGGUAAGGUAACGGCUUACCAAGGCAACGAUGCGUAGCCGACCUGAGAGGGUGAUCGGCCACACUGGAACUGAGACACGGUCCAGACUCCUACGGGAGGCAGCAGUAGGGAAUCUUCCGCAAUGGGCGAAAGCCUGACGGAGCAACGCCGCGUGAGUGAAGAAGGUCUUCGGAUCGUAAAACUCUGCUAUUAGGGAAGAACAAAUGUGUAUGUAACUAUGCACGUCUUGACGGUACCUAAUCAGAAAGCCACGGCUAACUACGUG